Glycine soja is the source of this 1778-nucleotide long non-coding RNA. RefSeq lists it as uncharacterized. The record is from RefSeq and is a predicted model, not a curated record. NCBI's taxonomy places the organism in Eukaryota, Viridiplantae, Streptophyta, Magnoliopsida, Fabales, Fabaceae. The transcript is spliced from 3 exons.
AAACGGCGUUUUUUAUCCGGCGUGGCAACCUUAUUGAGACGACGUCGUUUCAAUCAUCUGGGUUCUCAAACAAAUUAAAGAGCGCGUUUUUGGUGUCAACACUUGCUUGUUUACGAAGUAAAAAUAAAAACUUUGAGGAACUGAAGCGUCGAACACUCACUGGUGAUGUAGGGUUUGCAGUUUCAGUUUCCAUUGAGAAGAAAUUGUUCCAGAAGAGAUUAAAGAAGCUGCGGGGAUAGACAUUUGAAGAACGGUUUCUUGGUGCGUUGAAGAAUGGAGGAAGAGUACUUUAAAGUGAAAGUGCACCAUAGUGGUAAGUUUGUCAAAGGGAAAAAAGUUACCUACGAAGGGAAGGACUGUGAGUGGGAAUGUAUGAUAUGUGGUCAUAUUUUGAGAUAACUGGUAUCAUAGAUGAAAAAGGAUAUAAAGAUGUUGAAACUCUUUGGUAUAAGGCUGCAGGCAGGGAUCUGAAUGAUGGUUUGAAACAACUGGUUGAUGAUGCUGGUGCAUUGGAGAUGAUUCGAAUUGCUAAAUGUGAAGGAUGUGUUCAUCUCUAUGUUUUGCACCCUGAGAUUGUUCAUCAUAUUGUUGGAAAUGAAAGGAAUGAUUUACCUGAAAACCAUAUUGCCCAAGACAAUAUUCCUCAAGAAACUCCUAUGGCUGAAGACAAUGUUUCUAUACAAUAGAUGGUUCCGAUGCAACAGAAGAUCUUGAUGUUACUAUAACAUUCGAUGAUCCGGAAGAAGAAACCAAUGACAGAGAAGGGUUCAAUGGGUCAAUGCAAAGAAAAAAGGGAGGGAGAGGAGUUCAACAAGACAGUUGCAAGCAAAGUCAGUCAAAAGCCCACGGGGUAGACCGAAAGUUUCAACUUCUACACCACCAGAAGGUGUAAUACCUCCCCAACCUGAACCUGGAGAAAUUAAUGAUGACAUACACAAAAUAAAGUCCCUCUUCAACAUCAACACAUGGAAAUGGAUGGUGAUACAUGCAACUCAAGAGGAAUUAAACACCGAAUCAGAAGUUUAGGAUGGGUAAAAAAAAAUUAGACAACAACACCCAAUGUUAGACAACAAGACCUGAAAGAUCACAAGUGGGUAAUAGGAACUUUGUUUCCAACUAAAGAUGAGUUCAAGGAGGCUGUCAUGACAUAUGGUGUCCAAUCAGGCAGAAAUGUUAAGUUUGACAGGAAUGACAAGGAAAGGGUAAGAGUUGGGUGUAAGGAAGGAUGUCGGUGGUCAAUUUAUUUAGCAAAGAAUAAAAAUGAAAAAACAUGGCAGAUAAGGACAUUGAAGGAUGAACAUACUUGUAGCAGGGAGUGUAGAGUUACAAUGAUGAAAUCAAAAUGGCUAAGCAAGAGAUUAGUGAAUGGUGUUAGAGAAAAGCCAAACACCCACCCAAUCCCAACCACCUCCACCAACACCAACCCAAACCCAGCAAGGUCAACCCUUUAGGUCAAAGCUGCAAGCAAGGAGGAAAGUUUGAAGGGAGCCUUUUGGUAGCAAUUAUGGACAAAUUAUUGGCAACCUUUUAUGUUUAGUUUUUUUGGAUGACUGGUUUAUGGUAGUAAUUAUGGACAAAAUGUUGGCUACCUUUUAUGUUUAGUUUUUUUGGAGGACUGGUUUAUGGUAGCAAUUAUGGACAAAUUGUUGGCUACCUUUUUAAGUUUAUCUCUGUGAUGACUAGUUUAUGGUACCAAUUAUGGACAAAUUGAUGGCCUCCUUUUAUGUUUAGUUUUUGGAUGAAUUGUUGUGGACCUCUUUAAUAUGAAUAUCAAUUCG